AUUGAACGCUGGCGGCAUGCUUUACACAUGCAAGUCGAACGGUAACAGGCCUUCGGGUGCUGACGAGUGGCGAACGGGUGAGUAAUGCAUCGGAACGUGCCCAAUCGUGGGGGAGUAACGUAGCGAAAGUUACGCUAAUACCGCAUAAGCCCUCGAGGGGGAAAGGCAGGGGAGUCGCAAGACCUUGCGCGAAUGGAGCGGCCGAUGUCAGAUUAGCUAGUUGGUGGGGUAAAGGACCUACCAAGGCGACGAUCUGUAGCGGGUCUGAGAGGAUGAUCCGCCACACUGGGACUGAGACACGGCCCAGACUCCUACGGGAGGCAGCAGUGGGGAAUUUUGGACAAUGGGCGCAAGCCUGAUCCAGCCAUGCCGCGUGCGGGAAGAAGGCCUCGG
Molecule: ribosomal RNA, 393 nt
Filed under: uncultured bacterium
Lineage: Bacteria
Description: bacterial SSU rRNA
Rfam family: Bacterial small subunit ribosomal RNA
Source: RNAcentral